Molecule: ribosomal RNA, 459 nt
Filed under: uncultured bacterium
Lineage: Bacteria
Description: partial 16S ribosomal RNA
Rfam family: Bacterial small subunit ribosomal RNA
Source: RNAcentral
CCUACGGAGGCUGCAGUGAGGAAUAUUGGUCAAUGGGCGCGAGCCUGAACCAGCCAAGUAGCGUGAAGGAUGAAUGCCCUACGGGUUGUAAACUUCUUUUAUAAAGGAAGAAAGUGAGGCACGUGUGCCUUUUUGUAUGUAUUUUAUGAAUAAGGAUCGGCUAACUCCGUGCCAGCAGCCGCGGUAAUACGGAGGAUCCGAGCGUUAUCCGGAUUUAUUGGGUUUAAAGGGAGAGUAGAUGGGUUGUUAAGUCAGUUGUGAAAGUUUGCGGUUUAACCGUAAAAUUGCAAUUGAUACUGGCAGCCUUGAGUACAGUGGAGGUAGGUGGAAUUCGUUGUGUAGCGGUGAAAUGCUUAGAUAUCACGAAGAACACCGAUUGCGAAGGCAGCCUACUAAACUGCCACUGACAUUGAUGCUCGAAAGUGUGGGUAUCAAACAGGAUUAGAUACCCCUGUAGUC